Molecule: long non-coding RNA, 989 nt
Filed under: Pan troglodytes (chimpanzee)
Lineage: Eukaryota; Metazoa; Chordata; Mammalia; Primates; Hominidae
Description: long non-coding RNA NONPTRT006849
Source: RNAcentral
CUUAGGCAGCGGGGUGGCUGGAGAGUGAGAGGUGGGAAACAGGAACUUUGAGUCACACAGGCUGGGGCGGAAUUCCCCCUCCUUCACUUACUGUGACUUUGCUCCUGGACCUCUCAGGGCCUCAGUUUCCUCAGCUGUAAAAUGGGGCUAAUAAUAUCUUCUUUACACAGGAUUAAAUGAGCCAGAAGUGAACUGCAGCUAACACUUGGCAGCAUUACUAGGUCAGGAGUCUGGGUAUGUGGUUUCCCUGGAAGAGCACUCUGGAGAGAUUAUCCAGGGGUGGGAGGAGAGGGAGUGGUGGGAGGGUGUAUGUGUGUUUUCCUAACUUGCCCCAACCUUGCCUCCGGGCCCAUCCGAGCCUUCACCAUCCUCCGCGGAGCUGGCACUGUCCCGAAGCCUGGAGCGGGACGGCCGGUGUCUCCGGCCCUUGGCCAACAGUUGGGCCCGGGCCUUGUGUAAACUGCUGUCCAGUCUGGCCGUCUCUGGCACAGCCAAGUCCAGACACGGAGGAACGGCAGCCCUGUUUGGAUGCAUCAGAGGAGGAAACACCAAAGCCCUUCUUUGUCCGGCUGAUCAACUCUGACACAGCACCGUCUGACAGCCGCACCACACUACCAUAUGGUCACGAUACGGUUGGGAUAUGGUCACCAAUGACUGUCUCCUCAUGCUGGCCUGCAACCUGCAGAGGGUGAAACCCUUCCCUGUCCACUGUGUAUCAUGAGAGCCUGGUGUGGCACCUGACAAGGAGCAGGUGCUCAGGAAGUGUUGAAGCAAAGUCACACUUCCAUGGACCAGUGCAUGCUUUGGCGGAGAUGGACUCCAGACACACACGGGUGCUGAUGAAGGUCACCUCCAUGCCCAUGCCCACAUCCCAUCAUGUCCACAUUUCAAUCCUCUGCCCAGCACUCCCCACCAUCUAGUAUGUUCCUUGUUUAUUUAUGUGUGCUUUGAUCAUCUGUCCCCCUACUUGCCCCUGCACGAAAAUUUGA